This 131-nucleotide small RNA is filed under the name Escherichia coli. Its description in RNAcentral is "RtT sRNA". It matches the Rfam family "RtT RNA". Rfam says of the family: This family represents a bacterial cis-regulatory element known as RtT RNA. The record is from RNAcentral. Lineage: Bacteria; Pseudomonadati; Pseudomonadota; Gammaproteobacteria; Enterobacterales; Enterobacteriaceae.
AUUCUGCCCAUGCGGGGAAGGAUGAGAAGCUUCGACCAAGGCUCGACUCGAGCGCCAGCGAGAGAGCGUUGCCGCAGGCAACGACCCGAAGGGUGAAGCGCGCAGCGCUAGUAAUCCUUCCCCCACCACCA